GCCUGGCUCGCUCAGUUGGUAGAGGUUGUGACUCUUGAUCUCAGGGUCAUGAGUUCGAGUUCCAUGCUGGGCA
Molecule: transfer RNA, 73 nt
Filed under: Felis catus (domestic cat)
Lineage: Eukaryota; Metazoa; Chordata; Mammalia; Carnivora; Felidae
Rfam family: tRNA
About the family: Transfer RNA (tRNA) molecules are approximately 80 nucleotides in length. Their secondary structure includes four short double-helical elements and three loops (D, anti-codon, and T loops).
Source: Rfam by way of RNAcentral